AUUGAACGCUGGCGGCAGGCCUAACACAUGCAAGUCGAGCGGAUGAAAGGGGCUUGCUCCUGGAUUCAGCGGCGGACGGGUGAGUAAUGCGCAGGAAUCUACCUAGUAGUGGGGGAUAACGUUUCGAAAGGAACGCUAAUACCGCAUACGUUCUGAGGAAGAAAGCAGGGGAUCGUAAGACCUUGCGCUAUUAGAUGAGCUUGCGUCCGAUUAGCUAGUUGGUGGGGUAAAGGCCUACCAAGGCGACGAUCGGUAACUGGUCUGAGAGGAUGAUCAGUCACACUGGGACUGAGACACGGUCCAGACUCCUACGGGAGGCAGCAGUGGGGAAUAUUGGACAAUGGGGGCAACCCUGAUCCAGCCAUGCCGCGUGUGUGAAGAAGGCCUCGGUUGUAAG
RNAcentral lists this ribosomal RNA (397 nucleotides) under uncultured bacterium. RNAcentral describes it as "bacterial SSU rRNA". It matches the Rfam family "Bacterial small subunit ribosomal RNA", at positions 30 to 429 of the family's 1533-position model. The record is from RNAcentral.